AUACGGAGGGUGCAAGCGUUAAUCGGAAUUACUGGGCGUAAAGGGCGCGUAGGUGGCUUGAUAAGUCAGAUGUGAAAUCCCUGGGCUUAACCUGGGAAUUGCAUUUGAUACUGUCAGACUAGAGUGUGGUAGAGGUAAGCGGAAUUCCCGGUGUGGCGGUGAAAUGCGUAGAUAUCGGGAAGAACAUCAGUGGCGAAGGCGGCUUACUGGAUCAACACUGACACUGAGGCGCGAAAGCGUGGGUAGCAAACAGGAUUAGAAACCCCAGUAGUCC
RNAcentral lists this ribosomal RNA (274 nucleotides) under uncultured bacterium. RNAcentral describes it as "partial 16S ribosomal RNA". It matches the Rfam family "Bacterial small subunit ribosomal RNA", at positions 523 to 796 of the family's 1533-position model. The record is from RNAcentral.